This is a long non-coding RNA of Triticum dicoccoides, 636 nucleotides long. RefSeq lists it as uncharacterized. Lineage: Eukaryota; Viridiplantae; Streptophyta; Magnoliopsida; Poales; Poaceae. The transcript has 2 exons. The record is from RefSeq and is a predicted model, not a curated record.
GAACCAUGUCUUCUUCAAAUUCUGCCACCUCUAGGGCGUCUUCUUCCUCAAGGCGUUCGUAUGCUUCUAGCUUUAGGUCUCCGGUGAGAUACAGAGUUGGCCCGAUGGACUACCAUCCAGCUGUGCCUUGCUGGUGUAGGCAAAGGCCGAAGGCGGCCAUGUGGAUCUCCUGGAGUGACGACAAUCCAGGCAGGAGGUACUACACGUGCGCCAAGGCAAGGAUGGGGGGUGCGACUUCUACGCUUGGCACGAUGAUCCUAUUGAAGAUGAAUUCCUGAAACAACUAUUGAUCGAUCUGCGGGACAAGGUUCGUCUGCUUGAACGGAUGAAUGACGAGCUCCGUUCGGAAGCGAGGGCAGUCCAACAUUUUCAAGAAAGAAGUCAGGAGAUUGCAGAGCAAGUCCCAGCACGAAACCUUGCCAGACAGCACAGUGGGUACGUGCUGAAAGUUGCUGUGUGUGUUCUUGUGGUAGCACUUGUUUACAAGGUGUUCUGCAUGUAGAUGCAGAUCGGUUGGCCUUGUGAACUACCUAGAUCAAUUUGCAAAGAUUUAUCAAAAAUGUAUCCCUGCCUCAGUGAGGCUUAUGUUAUCGAAGCAUUUAAAGGUGAAAAAAUGCAAUUGUUUCCGUAAUGAAA